AUGAUCUAUUCAAAGAAGCUUGCUCAACUUGCCAAGAAGUGGCAGAGGAUGGUGGCAAUCGGUGGCCAGCAGACUGCAGGCACCGACGGAUGCUGCAGCACCACCUCUGUCGCAGACAGGGGCCAUUGUGUCAUGUACACUGCUGAUGGGUCUCGGUUCGAGGUUCCGUUGGUGUACCUUGGCACAAUGGUCUUCAGUGAGCUCCUGAGGAUGUCUCAAGAGGAAUUUGGCUUCUCCAGCGAUGGCAAGAUCACAGUACCUUUUGAUGCUUCUGUGAUGGAGUAUGUGAUGUGUUUGAUUAGGAGAGAUGCCUCUGAAGAGGUUGAAAAGGCGUUCCUGAGCUCCAUAGCAAGGCCUUGCCACAGUGCGAGUUGUGUAGCUUCAGUGAGACUUAAUCAGCAAUUUGCUGUUUGUAGCUAG
RNAcentral lists this ribosomal RNA (420 nucleotides) under Triticum aestivum (bread wheat). RNAcentral describes it as "partial small subunit ribosomal RNA". The record is from RNAcentral. Lineage: Eukaryota; Viridiplantae; Streptophyta; Magnoliopsida; Poales; Poaceae.